GAUCAUGGCUCAGGACGAACGCUGGCGGCGUGCUUAACACAUGCAAGUCGAACGGAGCACCCUUGAUUGAGGUUUCGGCCAAAUGAUAGGAAUGCUUAGUGGCGGACUGGUGAGUAACGCGUGAGGAACCUGCCUUUCAGAGGGGGGACAACAGUUGGAAACGACUGCUAAUACCGCAUGACGCAUUUUGAUCGCAUGGUCGAAAUGCCAAAGAUUUAUCGCUGAAAAGAUGG
Molecule: ribosomal RNA, 233 nt
Filed under: uncultured bacterium
Lineage: Bacteria
Description: partial 16S ribosomal RNA
Rfam family: Bacterial small subunit ribosomal RNA
Source: RNAcentral